Molecule: ribosomal RNA, 407 nt
Filed under: uncultured bacterium
Lineage: Bacteria
Description: partial 16S ribosomal RNA
Rfam family: Bacterial small subunit ribosomal RNA
Source: RNAcentral
GACGAACGCUGGCGGCGUGCCUAAUACAUGCAAGUAGAACGCAGUUGCGAACGGGUGAGUAACGCGUAGGUAACUGCCUCAUCGCGGCGGAUAACUAUUGGAAACGAUAGCUAAUACCGCCUACUGUGCGUUGGACCUGCGUUGUAUUCGCUAGUUGGUGAGGUAAAGGCUCACCAAGGCGAAGAUACAUAGCCGACCGGAGAGGGGGAUCGGCCAGACUGGGAAGGGGACACGGCCCAAAGUCGUCAGGGAGGCAGCAGGAAGGAAACUUCGGGAAUGGACGGAAGUCUGAACAAGGAACGGCGAGUGAGGUAAGAAGGUUUUCGGAUCGUAAAGAUCUGUUGUUUGAGAAGCGGUAACUAACCAGAAAGGGACGGCUAACUACGUGCCAGCAGCCGCGGUAAUUC